Long non-coding RNA from Hevea brasiliensis (rubber tree), 541 nucleotides. RefSeq lists it as uncharacterized. NCBI's taxonomy places the organism in Eukaryota, Viridiplantae, Streptophyta, Magnoliopsida, Malpighiales, Euphorbiaceae. The record is from RefSeq and is a predicted model, not a curated record. The transcript is spliced from 2 exons.
UACUUUCUCUGCUACCACCUUUACAGGUCCACCAGCAACAGAUAGACGGGGGUUUGGUUCAACUGGGAUUUCAGAUUUUUUAGCUUCUGGUAACUUGGUUUCUGAAACCUCCGCAGAUUUUUCAGUUGCUAAAGUGACACUGCAGGUUCACUCCCUAAUUGCUCUUCUUUCGCUGGCUCCACAGAUUCUUUGGUAAGUGGUGUUUCAACUGUUACUGGCUCUGCAGGAUUAAUUAAAGUCACUGAUCGUUCUAGGACCGUUGGCCCCUUGGGUUUUUCAGUCACUGAUGAUUCUGGUUUCACUGGUUCUUCUGGUGCUUUCACACUUUCAGCUGACUCCUUCACAUCUUCACUCUGAAAAGGGUACAAAUUUAACCAUGAGAAAGAAAUCCCAGAUGGCUCAAAGAGCAGUGCAAUACAUGCAGUUGAUUAAUAUGUUAACAACUACUUAACUAAUCAAAUCAUCUGGCAGAUGUAGCUGAUAAACAAUAUUUAUCUUUUCUUGGACUUUUGAAUGAACAUCUGCAACUUUAAGUCUUUUA